Molecule: long non-coding RNA, 1101 nt
Organism: Felis catus (domestic cat)
Lineage: Eukaryota; Metazoa; Chordata; Mammalia; Carnivora; Felidae
Exons: 3
Source: RefSeq, a predicted model, not a curated record
ACUGAACAACAGUGCACACAGCGUUUUAUGAGAACUCGGUCCAGUCUCAUUCAUGUCUUCCAGCUCAAGGAGAUGGUAGCAUCAUGUUUCUAAUGCAAAGGCCCCUUCGCAGAAUGGCUAUCUAUGUGGAUAGGCUUACGUGAUUCUGGAGGCCAAGAAGUCCCAUGAUCUGCUGUCUUCCAGCUGAAAACCCAGGAAAGCUGGUGGUAUAAUUCAGUCUGAAUCCAAAGGCCUGAGAAUCAAGAGCGCCGAUGUCUGAGGGCUAGGGAAGAUGGAUGUCCCAGCUCAAAAGAGAGCAAAUUCACCCUUCCUCUGCCUUUUUGUUCCAUUCAGGGCCCCAGUGGAUUGCGGGAUACCCACCCGCACUGACACCUUUGGAGUAGAGAUUAUUGGACAAGGAGAGAAGCAAGCUGGCCAAAGCUCAGUGGCGGAGUGAACACGAAGGAACUGAACAAAGUUAAGAGUUGGCUGGGGACGAAGCAGAGAAUAUGGGCACUGUCAUAUCACAAGCCACAUCUGACCAGAUUCAGAUGAAUCCCCAGGCAGGCGCUAGAGUAAAGCAUAACUGCCAUCAUGUAUUUGCCCCAGUGUCCCUCUACUGUGUUCCUAGAGCAGGUGUCAGUGAUGUAAUAAGGUGGAAGGAGCGGCUACUUCUGAAUCAGAACACUUCUGGGGCCCCUGGGUGGCUCAGUCGGUUGGGCGUCCCGCUUCCGCUCAGGUCACGUUCUCACGGUUCACGGUUCGAGCCCCUGGUGGGCUCUGGGCUGACAGCUCAGAGCCUGGAGGCUGCUUCUGAUUCUGUGUCUCCCUCUUUCUGGCCCUCCCCCGCUCACGCUCUCACUCGCUCUCUCAAGAAUAAACAAUAAAAAGAAAAAAAGAAAAAAAAAAAAAAAAGAACACUUCUGACUCCAGGCCAGCCUCAUCUUGUCUCCAUAUUGUCUUUCUCAAACGUUAAUAAACAAAACAAACAAACAAACAAAACCACUUAUUAUGGAUGUAAUACAUACUCAUUGCUGGGAAAUACAGAUCAGCAGGAGAGAAGAAAAUAAAAGUGAUCUAUAAUCACCUCAUCUCAGAAAAAACAAAAACAAAAAAAACAAC